GUGGCAUGGCCGCAUGGGCGUCGUCGCCCACAAGCUCCCAAGAACACAAGCGCACCGCGGUGGCCGUCGCCGACGAGAGUUCCGUCGUCGGUCGGACGAUCCCAUCGAAUCCAGGAACGUUACUCCUGGUUCAGGAUCCGUCCAUGGGAGACUCCGGAGGAUCUGUCUGCAGCUCGCUCCUCCAUGGCUUCCUCUUCUCCGUCUCCUCCGCCAUGUCACUGGCCUAGGAGAGGCUCCGAAGCUGGAGAUUUUCCCUCUGAUUCGGUCCAGAUGAACGUGGAUUUCAGGUAGAAAUUCCAUCUGCGGUUUGUUCUUCUUGGAGUCGCCGAGGGAGCCUAGGAAAAACGAAAUGCCUUCGCCUUUAGAUUGGGCGGCAGCACCAAUUACGGCCAUAACCAUAUGGCCGUCACCCCGCUCGACCUCGUCACCUGCACUACGCUGGUGAGGCUCUAGAAUUUUUGAUUGCGUGGGGUUUCUAUUGGGGCUAGGGUUCCUUCAAUUGUCUAAUCAGUGUUUAUGCAAUUUGGUGGGAUGACGAGGCGGCGAUUUAAGAUUGGCUGGUGGUAACUACAGCCCGAAUCAAUUCACGGUCUUCGUGCUUUCUUUUGAAUUUCCAGUUAAAUUUGGAUGGAACUUGUAGAUCAAGAUAAAAACCAGUUCGAAUGAAGCAACGUUUGCAUCUUGAGUCUACUCUGUUUGAUCGCGAUGCUUUUUCUGCGCAUAUUUAGGUCUGCAAUAUGAAAUGCCUGGAAACGGAGUAAUUUCUAAAGAAAUUUUUGAGAGGACACAGUUUUCUGAGGGUAUACUCUACUUCUUUCAUCAUUUGAGUCCAGUUAGCAUGAAAAAGCCAGAGCCUUCUUCCUUAAAGAUGCCACUUGGCUGUUCAUCAAAUUCGUGAUUCUUGGCUUCGAGUUGCCAUUAUUGCAAGUUUUAUAUUGGAAUUUGAUGCAAACUUACUGCAUUCUUCGUUUUGCCAAAAUGAUUGACCCAGAAAAGUACAAGAAUAUCUCUGCAUGGUUUACGGUUUGGUUAAAUGAGCAAGGCUUUAGAGGCUUUUUCAAAUUUGAAUUUUAUGAGUUCUUCAAGAAGUUAUACUCGGAGUUUGCUGGACCAGAGCAUGCAUCCAAGUAUAAAACUAUAAAACUGUCAUUUAUCUUGUGGGAUCUGCUUCUGCUGAAAUAAUUGUUAAUGCUGCCCUUUUCCCCAUGGAGGCAGUGAAGAUCAGGAUCCAAACUCAACCAGGGUUUGCUAAAGGUUUGAGAGAUGGACUACCUAAGUUUGUUGCAUCAGAAGCUCUUCCAGGGUACGUUUGCUUUCAGCUAAGAAAUCAUACCUUCAACUGCAGAUUUGUUUGCUGUUGCAUUCAAAUUGCAGACUUCAUAAAGGACUAGUUCCACUAUGAGGACGUCAAAUUCCUUUUGCUAACUAGUUCAUGUUCCUGUUUUCUCAUAAUCUUCUCGAGCUGAUGCAUGCACCAGGAAGCCAAUCUUCACAUGGAGAGGUACAGAAGUCUAAGUCAGCUGAGGCUUUUAAAUGACAAAGCCCACACGUGGCAAUGAUGUAGAGCAGAAGGCCCACAGGUGAGCUUCCCAUAUCCUGCCUCACCUUCUGAUCCUUAAUAGAUUAUGUCAAUUAUUAUGUUCUGCAUCCACUAUUCCUAUUCUUUUAAUAUAUUUUAGUCAAUCCUGCCGGUGGCAAGACCUUUCCAACAAGUAAACUAAAGUUUUUCUUUUAUAAAAAAAUAGAUUUAGUUUUGAUAAAAAAACAGAAAGAUAAAUAAUAACUGUCAAAAGUAAAAAAUAUAACUGCCAAGUUAAAGUAAAAUAAGUUCUUAUAGAUAUUGACAAUGAUAUUUUUAUUUUCUAUUUUUUAUAAGAAUUUUUUGUUUGCCAUCUAUUAUUAAUUAUCAAGAGUUAAUUAUAUGUUUAGGAAACUGGAUUCACUGAAUCUGCAUAUGUAAAAAGGAUAAAAAAUUUAAAUAUUAUUUUUUUUUAUAGAUAUAACGUUUUCAUUUUAAAUUAUAGUUAUUUGUUUAAUGGCGGCAUUAUCAAAAUAAAAAAAAAACAGAAUGCUUAAUCAAUAAAAACUAUACAAUUUUCUUUUCUCCAGAAUAUGCUCUUGUUAUAUGUUGUUUUCUCAGUAAUCAAAUAUUUGAUAGUGUCAAGUUCAUAAAAUCAAUAUUUGAUUUAUUGAUUUGAUUUACCCAGCAUGUUUUUUUUUAAAAUUUGAAGAUUUGAAAACUUAAAUAUUUUUUAUUUCUCAACAUUUCCUUUUUCCUGAAUAUGAAAAUUUGAAAAGUUUUCUUAUCACAAACAGGGCCUUAGCGGCAGUAACUUAUAUUUCAACUGAAAAAAUUGUAUGCUCAAUUCAAGAUCUCAUUUGAUGGUAUGUUUCAUCAUUAAUGUUGACUAAGUUCAGAGUCUAUGUUAUACUCUCAAACCAGUAUGUUACAAUUAGAUUUGACAGACUAGCUAACCAGAAGCCAAUCCAAUCGCGCUUAAUAGUGGUACUCCAGUUGAUUCAACCUCUGGUCCGAGUUUUAAAACGCUUUGUCAUUAUGAAUGCGUUUGGACUUGAGCAGGGAUAUUUCAUGAACGAGUUUCUGCAUCUUCAUUGCUCUCCUUUCUUAUUUAGAUUGUUCUUCUUAUGACUUGAGAAUUAAAAAAUCCACUGUGGCUACGGUUGUCCCUUUGUUUUUAAAUCUAUUUUCUCCUGACAUCAGAGAGCAUCUAGAGUAGAAAACAUAUUUCUAUCAUCUGUUGAAGUAAUGAUUAGCAAAUUAUCUACUUCUGUUUUCCUUGCAAUACAUACCAUGCACUCACUCUACCUAUCAUUUUCAUAAGCAAUUUGCUUUCCAUCCUCGAAUUAUUAGAAAAUAGUGCUUUGUUCUUCUACUUACUAUUUACUGAAAGUAAUGGUCUUCUCGUAUAUCAUAACUUGGAGCAUGAAAAGGAAAAAAAGAGAGGUUGACGACAAUAAUUAUGUAAGUUGGAUGCUCAUCAGUUCAUCCACAUAAAUUGCCGGAUGCUCAGAACUUGGACAUGACUCGGAGGGGACCAUCACCACUGGAUUGGGUUCUUUAAAUCUGACAGGAUCUAUGUGACCUUUGCUACAACGAUAGAUGCUACCAACAUUCACCAUAGAACAUGCAGCAUGAAGAUAAGAAAUCUCUUUUCUAUUCCUUGAAAUUCAAUGCCUAGAUUAUAUCAGUGCGCCUCUAGUUUUUCCAAAAAAAAAAAACAAAAAUCAAUCAAUAAUGCUAUGUUAAUUCUCCCACCUUCUCACCUCAUACCUUAUCCUUGGACCUCGAUUCCUUUCCCUGUCUCGCCAAAAAUUCAUUGCCAUGAAAACAACAGGAGGUAUGAUAGAGUAGCUUGUCCAAACCAACAACAUACUCCUCGUCGGCUACCCCGUCCCUCUGUUUUUCUUGGUACUUGUUGUAGUGGUCCAUCUCAAUUAUUAACUAUAUGAUCUUCUCCCAUCCUCUCUUUUAUUUAGCCGUGUGCAGUCGCUUUUUUCGACUGGACCAAUCAUAUUUGAAUGUGGUUUAUCUGUAAUCAGUCGGCAGUUUUGGUCGGUCCGUUUUGAAAACACUACUUCUCCCGAAGCUUCAUGGAUUUAGACUUUUAGUGCUCAUCAGUAAUCUUAAUGAGUUAAACUGCAAAAUUUUUACCUGGAUGAACUGAUCGAUCUGGUGGUAAAAACACUGCUGCUAGCAAAACUCCAUGCUUUUACAGUUAGGAACUGCAUUUUAUAUCGUUUGUUUGCGGAGAAGCUCGAGAUCAGUGGAGGACCACUGAGCCAUCAUGUCAUUGCUUCUUUCAAGUAGGAGCCACCAGAUUACAUGUUUGAAUUAAUUUGUGGAAAAGCAAAAGAAUAUCUCCAUAGGAAAAUGAUAUGUAAAAACUUUUACUCUUCUGUUUGGAUAAAUAGAAACUAAUAUAGCAUUU
Molecule: long non-coding RNA, 3950 nt
Organism: Zingiber officinale
Lineage: Eukaryota; Viridiplantae; Streptophyta; Magnoliopsida; Zingiberales; Zingiberaceae
Exons: 6
Source: RefSeq, a predicted model, not a curated record